GAGAGAGAGAGAGAGAGAGAAUACUCUCGAGCCUUCGAUUUUUGCUCUCAGACCUCGCCGAGCUUUGGUUGCUCCCAUAGUCCUCCCCUGCCUCCGAACAAGGGAAGGUGUUUUCUGCUCUCCGAUUGGGUUAAGCGCCCCUCCCCUGUUUGGAGUGUUUAUAGAUGGGUUUUGCAUUAGCAAAUCUUGGGUGCAUGGUAAGGAAUUUGCGUGAUGAUCUGCUUGAGGCAGUUGCAUGUCUCUUGCUAGAUGUAUCUUGUUUGCUGGAGUUUAGACGCAAUGGUCCACCUGAUGCAGUUUUCAAGCUUUGGUUAUAUAUGGGUGUUUGGUGGCUCUACUUCAACAGGAGGUUUAUCGCUUUUGCAGUUUGCAUAUCCACGAAUAUGCUUCUACACUACGGCUGGGAAAGCCAUCCGUAUAUCUUUAGGUAGCCAUGGAGCUUUGAGGCGGCACCACCUUAUUCUUGUGGAGCUGCGAUGGUUCUGUUUUCAAGUUUUGACUGCUAGAAAUGUCAAGUCGGCCUAUGACACCAGGUAGAGGUGCGGUGGAUGAUUGGUUGACUAUGGUUGUUUCUUGUCUUGGCUUAUUGUUUGCUUUUCGGUCUUCCUCAGCUCCUCGGCAGUGGCGAGCUUGGUCGAAGGCGGUGAUGUUCUGAGGUUGCUCUCUUUUAUUUCCCUAGGGUUUUUCCUUGGUCCUUUUGUAGAUCCUAUUUAUUUGUACUCUCCUGCCCAUUUGGGUCUUGGUAAUGCAAU
Molecule: unclassified non-coding RNA, 752 nt
Filed under: Hevea brasiliensis (rubber tree)
Lineage: Eukaryota; Viridiplantae; Streptophyta; Magnoliopsida; Malpighiales; Euphorbiaceae
Source: RNAcentral